GCCCAAGAGGUGAAGCAGCUUGUCUGAGGUCACCCCGGGCGACCAGGAUGCAGGCCUGCAGAUGUGCACUUUGGAGCUCUGCCUGGAGCUGGGGUGGAGGAGCCUGCCUGCUGCCUCGUGCCCUCUGCCGGGCCUGGGGGAUGUCCCAGGCCCAGGGCUGGCUGCUGUCCUCCUGCUCCUCUUGCUGGAGUAAGCAGGGCCUGGGGUUUGUUAGCAGCAGCGGCAGCAGCAGGAGCAAGGCUAGGAGGCUGGAAACAAGCCACAUCCCAAAAUAGCUCUGAUAACCAUGGGGCAGGAGGGCCCAGCCAAGCCUCAGCCCUGACAAGCACAGCCUGCAGCUGGCCUCCCUCCCCACUGGGCCUGGGCUCAGUCCCUGGUUUCCACUGAUGGCCUGUAAGGCCCACUCACUCUAGGCUUUGUGGCCCACCUGAGAAGUGGGAGGCUGGCCUGGGAGAUGGGACCCUGUGACUCAGAACCCGAGGCUGUGUACAGCCCCCGUGGCUGGAGGUGGUCACAGAGGCCUGGCAGGAUAGGUGCACUGGAGCAGGGGGAGGUGGCGGGAGUGGACGGCAGAGGUUGCUGCAGGCUGGCAGGAGGCCCCUGGGACCUCAGUUCUGUGCCAGGAUCUGUCGGGGAAUACCAGGGGUGAGCAAGUAUGGAGAUGGGGUGGCAGGGUGUCACCCUGGGCAGGCUCUUUUAUGGGCAUGUGAGGGGGUCAGGGUGGGGUCUCAAGACCUUUCCUCCAGAAACUUCAGCCCAGCAGCGCCCGUUCUUGAAUCCUGGGGUUGGCCAUGAGCAGGUGGGACAGAAAUAGCAACAGCUGGAGACGUGUGACCUUGAAACCGGGGCACUCUGCUUGGUGGGGAGCUGCUGGAGCCUCCUUAAGGUUCUGCGAGACGCUGCACCUAGUGGGCUGCUGCCAGCUGCCCACUGUCCGCACCCACUGCUGCCGCUCGUGCUCUCCGCCCAGCCACGGCGCCCGCUCCCGAGGCCAUCAGCGGGUUGCCUGCCACUGACCGUGCCAGGAUGCACAGACCGACCAACAGACCUCAGUGCCCACCAUGGGCUGUGGCGGAGCUCCUGCCCCCUACGCCCUACGCCCUACGCCCUAAUGGUGCUAACCCCCUCUCACUAUCCAGCGGCAGGCUGGGGACCUCCUCCCCCCUCAAAAAAAGUAUUUUUUUAUUCUAACAGUUUGUGUAACAUUUAUUAUGAUUUUACAUAAAUGAGCAUCUACCAUUCCAAAGCACAGCAUGACUUCAUCUUGGAUUUGGAGAAUCUUAAAAGUGAGAAACUCUUCCCCCCACUCCUCUGCCCAAAACUCCACCGCCACAGCACCUCGGCAGGCGCGGCUUUUCACCUGCUCCUCUGGGGCAGAUCUGCAGGGUACAGAGCAGCAAACAAGUCCGUGAGAGCAUGGCGUCUGGUGAGGCACGGGCCUUGGAAGCUGGGGGGCUGCUGCCCAGGGAGGGCUAUCUGCGGAGGGUCGGGUUCUGGGGGCAGGAAGGUCUUCCGGGCAGGGGCACAGCUUGGCCCUUACUUGCUGCCUGCCUCUAGCUCGGCUCCCAGCUUUCCCUGGGGCCCCACUCUGUGGUCCUCAGAGACCUGUUCCACAGGGAUUGGGCCCACCUUGUCACUUGCAGGACUGCCCCUUGGAGUGAUGGGGACUGGGGCCCCCAGGGGCACCUCCCUGGGCCUGUUGUAUCUGUUGACUCUUCUGCAAAAAGUAGACAGAGAAGAGAGCAGGCUGGCCCGCUGUGCUCUACUGUGUCUGUCCCAGGACUCGGAAGGUAGGGAGGGAGCGUGGCCAGGGCGGCUGCCUGCAGGUGCGUGUCCUGCUGCUCCCCAACUCAACAUGCUCACCUCAUUUCACACCAACAAGCCCCAUCCUCAGAGGAGGAGCCCAAGGCUCUGAGAGGAAGUAACUGGCCCAAGGGCACAUGCCCUGGUGACACAGGCCCAUCCUAGGCCCUGACUGCC
RNAcentral lists this long non-coding RNA (1980 nucleotides) under Homo sapiens (human). RNAcentral's name for it is "non-protein coding lnc-SH2D7-3:6". Lineage: Eukaryota; Metazoa; Chordata; Mammalia; Primates; Hominidae. The record is from RNAcentral.